Molecule: long non-coding RNA, 786 nt
Filed under: Homo sapiens (human)
Lineage: Eukaryota; Metazoa; Chordata; Mammalia; Primates; Hominidae
Description: GP6 antisense RNA 1
Source: RNAcentral
GAUUUGCAGUCGGAGGCAGGCAAGAAGUGAAAUCAGAAGACGGGAAGUGGCUGAGGGGAACGUCUUUUCUCUCUCCUGCUCAGCCCGAAGUGAACAGGUAGCAUCAGAGAUGAGAUCCUGGAUUGAAUGACUACUAUGGAAAGUGAUUGACCAAGAUUGUCUCCAUUCCUCCCUGGCUUCUCCACAGGGCCGCUCACCAUGGCAGCCGGCUCCAUCACCACCAGCCAGCGAGAGGGCAAGACAAGAGGGCUGACGAGGGACGCUACCAUCACAGAGGCUGGUCUCGAACUCCUGACCUGAGGUAAUCCGCCCACCACAGCCUCCCAAAGUGCUGGGAUUACAGGCGUGGCUAUUAGCCUCGCCAAGUUAAGAUUCUUGAUGCCAACCAAUCACCCACUCCAUGUUUUUCAGGAUUAUAAACACUAGUCAUAAAGCAUGAACUGCCUGGGGGUGGUGGCUCACACCUGUAAUCCCAGCACUUUGGGAGGCAGUUGGAUCACCUGAGGUCAGGAGUUUGAGACUAGCCUGACCAAUAUGGUGAAACCCCACCUCUAGCUGGGUGUGGUGGUGUGCACCUGUAAUCCCAGCUACUUGGAGACAGGAGAAUCGCUUGAACCUGGGAGGUGGAAGUUGCAGUGAGUGGAGAUCAUGCCAUUGUACUCCAGCCUGGGCGACAGAGCAAGACUUCAUCUCAAAAAUAAGCAUUGACAACUGCGGGUCAAAACUGCCCCUGGUUGAGACUCACUGGCUGGAGCCAAAAGGCUGAGCUGCCUGCCCAACAGCAGC